GAUCAUUACACAAUAACCAGGCGGGCUGGACACCCCCCGCUGGGCACUGCUUCACGGCGUGCGCGGCGGGGCCGGCCCUGCUGAAUUAUUCACCCGUGUCUUUUGCGUACUUCUUGUUUCCUGGGUGGGCUCGCCCGCCCUCAGGACCAACCACAAACCUUUUGCAAUAGCAAUCAGCGUCAGUAACAACGUAAUUAAUUACAACUUUCAACAACGGAUCUCUUGGUUCUGGCAUCGAUGAAGAACGCAGCGAAAUGCGAUACGUAGUGUGAAUUGCAGAAUUCAGUGAAUCAUCGAAUCUUUGAACGCACAUUGCGCCCUUUGGUAUUCCAAAGGGCAUGCCUGUUCGAGCGUCAUUUGUACCCUCAAGCUUUGCUUGGUGUUGGGCGUCUUUUGUCUCCAGUUCGCUGGAGACUCGCCUUAAAGUCAUUGGCAGCCGGCCUACUGGUUUCGGAGCGCAGCACAAGUCGCGCUCUUGGCCAGCCAAGGUCAGCGUCCAGCAAGCCUUUUUUUCAACCUUGACCUCGGAUCAGGUAGG
Molecule: ribosomal RNA, 538 nt
Filed under: Alternaria infectoria
Lineage: Eukaryota; Fungi; Ascomycota; Dothideomycetes; Pleosporales; Pleosporaceae
Description: eukaryotic LSU rRNA
Rfam family: 5.8S ribosomal RNA (bases 203-356)
Source: RNAcentral